CCAGCAUUCCUCUUGCAGGUGGGUCCAGCCGCAUCUCUGACAGAGACAAAAAGAAAACAGAAUCAGUAAGCCAGAAGAACUACACUUAAGUUAUAAUUCGUCAGCAAUAAGCA
This is a long non-coding RNA of Thalassophryne amazonica, 113 nucleotides long. RefSeq lists it as uncharacterized. The transcript is spliced from 3 exons. Lineage: Eukaryota; Metazoa; Chordata; Actinopteri; Batrachoidiformes; Batrachoididae. The record is from RefSeq and is a predicted model, not a curated record.